GGGUAGGUAGCGAAGCGGUCAAACGCAACAGACUGUAAAUCUGUCGACCUCGGUCUUCGGAGGUUCGAAUCCUCCCCUGCCCA
RNAcentral lists this transfer RNA (83 nucleotides) under Ignavibacteriales bacterium. It matches the Rfam family "tRNA". From Rfam's summary of the family: Transfer RNA (tRNA) molecules are approximately 80 nucleotides in length. Their secondary structure includes four short double-helical elements and three loops (D, anti-codon, and T loops). The record is from Rfam by way of RNAcentral. Lineage: Bacteria; Pseudomonadati; Ignavibacteriota; Ignavibacteria; Ignavibacteriales.